CCUACGGGGGGCAGCAGUGAGGAAUAUUGGGCAAUGGAGGCAACUCUGACCCAGCCAUGCCGCGUGAGUGAAGAAGGUUUUCGGUUUGUAAAGCCCUUUCGGAUGUGACGAUGAUGACGGUAGCAUCUAACGAAGCCCCGGCUAACUUCGUGCCAGCAGCCGCGGUAAUACGACGGGGGCAGGCGUUGUUCGGAAUUACUGGGCGUAAGGGGAGUGUAGGCGGUUUAGUAAGUUAGGGGUGAAAGCCCAGGGCUUAACUUUGGAAUUGCCAUUAUAACAAGUAGACUAGAAUUACAGAGAGGAUAGUGGAAUACCCGGUGUAGAGGUGAAAUGCGUAGAUAUUGGGUAGAACACCAGUGGCGAAGGCGACUAGCUGGCUGUACAUUGACGCUGAGGCUCGAAAGCAUGGGGAUCAAACAGGAUUAGAUACCCGAGUAGUC
RNAcentral lists this ribosomal RNA (440 nucleotides) under uncultured bacterium. RNAcentral describes it as "partial 16S ribosomal RNA". It matches the Rfam family "Bacterial small subunit ribosomal RNA", at positions 338 to 795 of the family's 1533-position model. The record is from RNAcentral.